Molecule: ribosomal RNA, 499 nt
Filed under: uncultured Bacillota bacterium
Lineage: Bacteria; Bacillati; Bacillota
Description: bacterial SSU rRNA
Rfam family: Bacterial small subunit ribosomal RNA
Source: RNAcentral
UAGGGAAUCUUCGGCAAUGGGCGAAAGCCUGACCGAGCAACGCCGCGUGAGCGAUGAAGGCUUUCGGGUCGUAAAGCUCUGUUGUUAAGGAAGAACAAGUACGAGAGUAACUGCUCGUACCUUGACGGUACUUAACGAGAAAGCCACGGCUAACUACGUGCCAGCAGCCGCGGUAAUACGUAGGUGGCGAGCGUUAUCCGGAAUUAUUGGGCGUAAAGCGCGCGCAGGCGGUUUCUUAAGUCUGAUGUGAAAGCCCACGGCUCAACCGUGGAGGGUCAUUGGAAACUGGGGAACUUGAGUGCAGAAGAGGAAAGCGGAAUUCCACGUGUAGCGGUGAAAUGCGUAGAGAUGUGGAGGAACACCAGUGGCGAAGGCGGCUUUCUGGUCUGUAACUGACGCUGAGGCGCGAAAGCGUGGGGAGCAAACAGGAUUAGAUACCCUGGUAGUCCACGCCGUAAACGAUGAGUGCUAAGUGUUAGAGGGUUUCCGCCCUUUAGUG